This 180-nucleotide non-coding RNA is filed under the name Ferriphaselus amnicola. RNAcentral's name for it is "6S / SsrS RNA". It matches the Rfam family "6S / SsrS RNA". From Rfam's summary of the family: E. coli 6S RNA was the first non coding RNA to be sequenced, but its function was unknown until recently. It consists of 184 nucleotides that fold into an extended hairpin structure with a large single-stranded internal bulge. The 6S RNA specifically associates with RNA polymerase holoenzyme containing the sigma70 specificity factor. The record is from Rfam by way of RNAcentral. Lineage: Bacteria; Pseudomonadati; Pseudomonadota; Betaproteobacteria; Nitrosomonadales; Gallionellaceae.
UGUCCCCUGCGGUGUUUGUCAGGCUCAUAAUUCUUUGAACCAAUAAGCGCUGCUUAAGGUUGUAACCCACUCAAUUGCUGUUGUGAGCGUCCCUUAGUCGGAUGUUCCUGAUGCAACCGGGAAGCGACCAUCUUGAACCCAGGUUCAAGACAUUGAGCCAACGGCACAGGCGGGGGGCUU